GACGAACGCUGGCGGCGUGCUUAACACAUGCAAGUCGAACGGAAAGGCCCUGCUCUUGUGGGGUGCUCGAGUGGCGAACGGGUGAGUAACACGUGAGUAACCUGCCCUUGACUUUGGGAUAACUUCAGGAAACUGGGGCGAAUACCGGAUAGGAGCUCCUGCUGCAUGGUGGGGGUUGGAAAGAUUCGGCGGUUGGGGAUGGACUCGCGGCUUAUCAGCUUGAUGGUGGGGUAGGGGCUGACCAAGGCUUUGACGGGUAGCCGGCCUGAGAGGGUGACCGGCCACAUUGGGACUGGGAUACGGCCCAGACUCCUACGGGAGGCAGCAGUGGGGAAUAUUGCGCAAUGGGCGGAAGCCUGAUGCAGCAACGCCGCGUGCGGGAUGACGGCCUUCGGGUUGUAAACCGCUUUCGCCUGUGACGAAGCGUGAGUGACGGUAAUGGGUAAAGAAGCACCGGCUAACUACGUG
This 468-nucleotide ribosomal RNA is filed under the name uncultured bacterium. RNAcentral's name for it is "partial 16S ribosomal RNA". It matches the Rfam family "Bacterial small subunit ribosomal RNA", at positions 28 to 507 of the family's 1533-position model. The record is from RNAcentral.